CACGAAGGCAGUUCUGUCGCAAGCUUCGCCGCGGCCGGACGUGCAAGUGGGGUGGCAUGCGCGCCGGGGUGAAACUUGCAAGCUCCCCCUUUAUCGAGCUUGCAGAUGGCUGUGCCUUUUAGAUUUUGACGUGUCCCUCCGUUCCUUUCCGUUCGUUCGUUCGUACGUUUCGUAGUGUAACAUUUCGACCGCUUGACUCUUCGCUCGCUUUAUCGUUCUCGCCACUCCCUGACGAUCAGCGAUCUUCGACAUGCCUAGGAAAGUCGGAUUCAACGUCGUCUACGCCACGAGCGAGGAGGACAGACACUCGUCGUUAGAGCUUAACGUCCACGGGCCGACCGUGAGAGGUUGGCAGAGCGCAAGAAAUUGCACGUAUCCUCAGGAACUUAUUCUACGUCUUCAUGGGCCCACGAAACUCACGAGGAUACAAGUCCUAGCGCAUCAGUAUCUCAUACCCGAGAAACUGGAGAUCUGGACAUCGAGGGAGGAAAAUGCAUCCGCUUCGACGGACUUCAGUUACCUGGGCUACAUCACGCUGUCCGAUAACGCUUCUACCCUUUACAAGAGCAGAGAACUGAAAAGCGUGGCUCUUCCGGAGACAGAAGCGGUGUCGUUGAAGCUUAGGCUACAUAAACCGCACAGUAACGCGCACAACACUUGCUGUCAGGUUGGCCUUAUCGCUAUUAAUAUACUUGGCGAACCUUAUGGUCAAGAAUUAACCGGGCAAGGGGAUGCCCCGUAUAAUCCGCAUUACACCUCGCCUUACGACGAUCUAGCGUUCGAAAUGUACGUCGACCGAGAAGUGGCCAAGAUCAUCAGACAAAUGGAAGCGAAGAAACUGCAGGCGGUGGAAGAGGAGAGAUUCGAAUACGCCUCGAAGUUGAAGGUCGCGAUGGAGAAUCUGCGAAAGGCAGGCGAACGUCUGGGUAAAUAUGAGCUGGAGAAGAAGUACGCCAUUGCUCUGGAAGACUAUGACAAGGCCAAGGCUAAGAAGGCCCAAGCCCAGCAGUAUCGACAACAGGUCUAUCAGUCGUUGGAGAUAUACAACUUGCUCGAGGUACACGGACCCAUGGAGAAGAACAACCUGUCGUCUGUGGAGGGUAAAGAACCGAUAUCGACGGACACGUGUACCUCCAACACGGCGGCGGUGGUUCCUGACGACAUCACGUCCCCCCCGAGACUAGUUAUACCACCUAAUCGCGACGGUGCCUUGUCACCGACUGGUCCUGCACACCAGCCGCCCGUGUCGCCGUUACAUCAGAAGCCCAACAGUCCUGAGGUAACUGAUAGCCCAACGAACGGUGUUCUUGAGAGACAAAGCAAUUGCAAUAAAGGAUCUCUCAGGCGGAAAACUAAGUCAGCGGGUCCUGCCCUUCGCUCAAGCUACGAAGCCUACGAGGAGAGAACUAUCCCUGCUCUGAGACACUCGCACACGAACGAGUUCACGAGGGAAUGUCACUUGGACAGCGCAGAAACGAAAGUUACCUCGAAACUGAACGACCGGGAGAAGAAACAGGCUGCGUUGCCCAUCGCGGUCUUCGGCAUGGACAUGGUAGAGAAGUUUUAUUCGAAACAAUUUACGGACAAAGAGGAGGGACUGAUGCAACUGAAGGAAGAACUGAAGACGUUCGACCCAGAGGUAUCGAAACAUUCGCCGAAUAAGACAGCCAGAGCGGCAAUCUUACUGUUACACAGGGCUCUUAGGGAUAAAGUCUUCAGCGUGUAUAGCUUGGCGGCACAGCUCAUUAGGAUCUUCUUCGCUGAAUUCGCGGCGGACAGGGUAUCUUCAACGGAGAUCGCCAGAAGCGUCGAACGUCUGUUACCCGAACUUCUAACAAAAUCCGGGGAUACUACCCCUAGAAUACACAACAUGGCAGUACACACAAUCCUCAGCAUGGCUGAUUGCAAAUGCGUUCGUGAAUUACAUAUAAUACCGGUGCAUCUGACCAGGCCAGUGAACAGCAGCACUCAUCAGAGGCUGGCACUGAGCAGACUGGAGAUGGUGGAGCAGCUGAUACUGAGCCACGGUAUCUCCACCGAGAAGCAAAGGUAUUGUAAUUGUUGUAGCGGGCUGACCUGUCGGACGUUAUCCGAAUUAGGUUCUUCCGGUCUGCAUCAUCCGGCCGAGGCGGUACGGAAAGUAUCCGAGAGGAUUUUAGUGUUAGUGUACAAAGUCAAUCCCAGGUUGGUGCGAAAGCAAUUGCCGCCUGACGAUGACAUCACUCGACGAAAUCUAUUAUAUCGCCAGCUCUUCCACGAAUUCGAUCUGAUCGAUUUGCAGAGGAAGAAGGAAGCCGAGUCCACCCAUAAAGCAACGACAACGCCUACACGAACUAAAUCUACGGAAAAUAAUGUAACUAAUCUAACUAAAUCACCGUCGAGAUCGAGCCCGGUCGUGAGUACCGGAAGUUCAACGAGUAUCACAUCUCCGUCCGAGAACAGCGCCGAUCAUAAAGGAGAUAAGGUCAAGUGUAUUCUGAAGAAGGUUUGAAUAUACAUUACUGGAGGACUUGCCCUAUGUUAACAAAAUGCGAAGCAUGUAAACAGGUCGUAGAGAUAUCCUAUCUGAAUCUACAUUUGUUAAAUGAAUGCGAUAUGAGGAGUAAUUAUGUGAAAUGCGAGACGUGUAAACAAGCGGUGCACGAAAACGCUUUCGAGAACCACAGACAGGACAAGAAGUGCACAA
This 2686-nucleotide unclassified non-coding RNA is filed under the name Harpegnathos saltator (Jerdon's jumping ant). RNAcentral's name for it is "centrosomal protein of 104 kDa, transcript variant X1". Lineage: Eukaryota; Metazoa; Arthropoda; Insecta; Hymenoptera; Formicidae. The record is from RNAcentral.